This 221-nucleotide long non-coding RNA is filed under the name Mytilus galloprovincialis (Mediterranean mussel). Lineage: Eukaryota; Metazoa; Mollusca; Bivalvia; Mytilida; Mytilidae. The record is from RNAcentral.
GAAUAUUAUGUCACAUCAAAAUCUAAAUUUUGUUAUGUUGUUUUUUGGGCGAAUAUGGACACUGUUUUACAUUGAAAUUGUAAUACAGAUACUUCAGAAGUCACAAAAUUAUAACUAUGAAGGUAAACUUUCCGGAGAAACACUUUAACUUUCCGUCAUGUUUAACUCCGCCACAUUCUGUAUGUAUGUGUCUGUCCCAAGUCAGAGGCCUAUGGUUGUCG